Long non-coding RNA from Gavialis gangeticus (Gharial), 161 nucleotides. RefSeq lists it as uncharacterized. The transcript has 2 exons. NCBI's taxonomy places the organism in Eukaryota, Metazoa, Chordata, Crocodylia, Gavialidae. The record is from RefSeq and is a predicted model, not a curated record.
AGUCUCUGUCUCGGUCCCUCCUCGGUCUCCUUGCGUUUCUAACACAAGCUUUUGCUCCCAAGGGCAGAGAUGAUAUUUUAAUAAAUGUUGCCUCCCUUUUCCAUGCGCUGAGCCCCUGGCUUCUCCCCACAGCCAUAAACCUGGUUGCUGCGUUCUCACUG